RNAcentral lists this transfer RNA (73 nucleotides) under Ailuropoda melanoleuca (giant panda). It matches the Rfam family "tRNA". Rfam says of the family: Transfer RNA (tRNA) molecules are approximately 80 nucleotides in length. Their secondary structure includes four short double-helical elements and three loops (D, anti-codon, and T loops). Lineage: Eukaryota; Metazoa; Chordata; Mammalia; Carnivora; Ursidae. The record is from Rfam by way of RNAcentral.
ACCUGGCUGGCUCAGUCAGUGGAGGGUGAGACUCUUGAUCUCAGGGUUGUGAGUUCGAGCCCCACAUCGGGUG